Molecule: RNA transcript, 933 nt
Organism: Anastrepha ludens (Mexican fruit fly)
Lineage: Eukaryota; Metazoa; Arthropoda; Insecta; Diptera; Tephritidae
Gene: mRpS11
Gene name: 30S ribosomal protein S11
Exons: 5
Source: RefSeq, a predicted model, not a curated record
CUUUGUGUGAACCUAAUAUUGUGAUAAGCGAAGAAAAUCGUCAAUUAUUUAUCGAUUUUUUUAAUUGUUAAGACUUGACGUAACUUUCCUUUGAUAAAUAUUACUUAUUCUAAUUCGAGCAAAAUAUGUUGCGAAGAUCAAUAACUUCGUUGUUCGAUAGGACAGUUGGCCUUCUCAAUAGAAAACAACUAUGUGAAAUACAUACAACAAUAGCUUUGCUAAAAGUAGAAGACCGGAAGGGUAUGAUGGCUUCAUUACCGGAUAAGGAUGAAGGCACAGCUGGUGAAAAAUCAAUAGAUAUAGAUACCCUCAUUCACAAAAAAGAAAAAUUCUUCCCAGAUGAUCAAACCUCGCAACAAUUAUUUAAUGGAAUUCCGUUUGCUGAGUUGCCUGUUUGCAACAUUCGUGUAUCUCCUAACAACACUAUAAUAAGUGUUACGGAUAGCAAGGGUGUUCCUAGACUUAUACGGUCCUGUGGCAUUGAGGGCUUUAAAAAUACUCGAAAAGGCACAAAUAUUGCUGCCCAAGCUACUGCAAUAACUAUAAGCGAAAAAGCCGUAGAACUCGGUUGGAAGACCGUUCGAGUAAAAGUGCGGGGAUUGGGGCCUGGUCGAAUGUCAGCCAUUAAAGGGCUUCAAAUGGGUGGACUUAACAUUGUUUCAAUUACUGAUGCAACACCUGUAUCUUGGAACCCUCCGCGUGCAAGAAAGCAGAGAAGCUUAUAAAAAGGACAGUUUUAAAAUAUUCCAUCUUCAGCACAAAAAAUAUGAUACUUGAUUUUUGAUGGUGCUGAUUUUCAACAAAGUGCCAAUGUUUCAAAAUGCUUUAAAAGGAGAAAUGUUACAAAAAGGAUCAAAAAAAAAUUAAUACUUAACGCUUUAUACAUUUUUUAAACGCAUUUUUUUAAUUCCUAAAAUCUAUUAUGCAUAUUGU